UGGGGAAUAUUGCGCAAUGGAGGAAACUCUGACGCAGCGACGCCGCGUGGGUGAUGAAGGCCUUCGGGUUGUAAAGCCCUGUCGGUUGGGAAAAAGAUAGUCGUGCUAAUAUCACGAUUGUUUGAUGGUACCAGCAAAGGAAGUAGCGGCUAACUCUGUGCCAGCAGCCGCGGUAAUACAGAGGCUACGAGCGUUGUUCGGAAUUACUGGGCGUAAAGGGCGCGUAGGCGGUUUCAUAAGUCAGAUGUGAAAGCCUGGGGCUUAACCCCAGAAGUGCAUUUGAAACUGUGAGGCUAGAGUGCAGUAGAGAAUGGCGGAAUUCCCAGUGGAGAGGUGAAAUUCGUAGAUAUUGGGAGGAACACCGGUGGCGAAGGCGGCCAUUUGGGCUGUAACUGACGCUGAGGCGCGAAAGCGUGGGUAGCAAACAGG
RNAcentral lists this ribosomal RNA (429 nucleotides) under uncultured Pseudomonadota bacterium. Its description in RNAcentral is "bacterial SSU rRNA". It matches the Rfam family "Bacterial small subunit ribosomal RNA", at positions 355 to 776 of the family's 1533-position model. Lineage: Bacteria; Pseudomonadati; Pseudomonadota. The record is from RNAcentral.